CACGAACGCUGGCGGCGUGCUUAACACAUGCAAGUCGAACGGUGAAGGGACCAGCUUGCUGGUUCUGGAUGAGUGGCGAACGGGUGAGUAACACGUGAGUAACCUGCCCCCUUCUUCUGGAUAACCGCAUGAAAGUGUGGCUAAUACGGGAUAUUCUGGGUCUGUCGCAUGGCGGGCCCGGGAAAGAUAUUGCUUCGGUGGGGGAUGGGCUCGCGGCCUAUCAGCUUGUUGGUGGGGUGAUGGCCUACCAAGGCGGUGACGGGUAGCCGGCCUGAGAGGGUGGACGGUCACACUGGGACUGAGACACGGCCCAGACUCCUACGGGAGGCAGCAGUGGGGAAUAUUGCACAAUGGGCGCAAGCCUGAUGCAGCGACGCCGCGUGAGGGAUGGAGGCCUUCGGGUUGUAAACCUCUUUCGCCAGUGAAGCAGGCCUGCUCCUUGUGGGUGGGUUGACGGUAGCUGGAUAAGAAGCGCCGGCUAACUACGUG
Molecule: ribosomal RNA, 489 nt
Filed under: uncultured bacterium
Lineage: Bacteria
Description: partial 16S ribosomal RNA
Rfam family: Bacterial small subunit ribosomal RNA
Source: RNAcentral